RNAcentral lists this ribosomal RNA (547 nucleotides) under Blastocystis sp. RNAcentral's name for it is "SSU rRNA". It matches the Rfam family "Eukaryotic small subunit ribosomal RNA", at positions 40 to 606 of the family's 1831-position model. Lineage: Eukaryota; Bigyra; Opalinata; Blastocystidae. The record is from RNAcentral.
AAGAUUAAGCCAUGCAUGUGUAAGUAUAAAUAUUUUACUUUGAAACUGCAAAGGGCUCAUUAUAUCAUUUAUAGUUUAUUAGAUAAAAUGUACUACUUGGAUAACCGUAGUAAUUCUAGGGCUAAUACAUGAUCAAUUCCUCGACUUUGAAGAGGUGUAUUUAUUAGAAGGAAAACCAAUAGACUUUGCUGAUUGUGAGUAAAAAUAACCUUUCUUAUCGCAUGUUUAGGUAACGAUGUGUCUUUUAAGUUUCUGCCCUAUCACCUUUCGAGGGUAGGGUAUUGGACUACCAUGGCAGUAACGGGUAACAAAAAAUUUGGGUUCAAUUUCGGAAAGGGAGCCUGAAAAGGGCUACCACAUCCAAGGAAGGCACCAGGCGCGUAAAUUACCCAAUCCUGACACAGGGAGGUAGUGACAAAAAAUCACAAUGCGGAACUUUUGUUUUGCGAUUGGAUUGAGAAAAACGCACAACACUUAUCGAUAAAAAAUUGGAGGGCGAGUCUGGUGGCAGCAGCCGCGGCGAUUCCAGCUCCUAUAGCGUAUAUUA